AGUGAACGCUGGCGGUAGGCCUAACACAUGCAAGUCGAACGGCAGCACAGUAAGAGCUUGCUCUUACGGGUGGCGAGUGGCGGACGGGUGAGGAAUACAUCGGAAUCUACUUUUUCGUGGGGGAUAACGUAGGGAAACUUACGCUCAUACCGCAUACGACCUACGGGUGAAAGCAGUGGAUCUUCGGACCUUGCGCGAUUGAAUGAGCCGAUGUCGGAUUAGCUAGUUGGCGGGGUAAAGGCCCACCAAGGCGACGAUCCGUAGCUGGUCUGAGAGGAUGAUCAGCCACACUGGAACUGGGACACGGUCCAGACUCCUACGGGAGGCAGCAGUGGGGAAUAUUGGACAGUGGGCGCAAGCCUGAUCCAGCCAUACCGCGUGGGUGAAGAAGGCCUUCGGGUUGUAAAGCCCUUUUGUUGGGAAAGAAAAGCAGCAGGUUAAUACCCCGCUGUUCUGACGGUACCCAAAGAAUAAGCACCGGCUAACUUCGUG
Molecule: ribosomal RNA, 492 nt
Filed under: uncultured bacterium
Lineage: Bacteria
Description: partial 16S ribosomal RNA
Rfam family: Bacterial small subunit ribosomal RNA
Source: RNAcentral